UACGGGGGGGGCAAGCGUUGUUCGGAAUUACUGGGCGUAAAGGGCUCGUAGGCGGCCAACUAAGUCAGACGUGAAAUCCCUCGGCUUAACCGGGGAACUGCGUCUGAUACUGGAUGGCUUGAAUCCGGGAGAGGGAUGCGGAAUUCCAGGUGUAGCGGUGAAAUGCGUAGAUAUCUGGAGGAACACCGGUGGCGAAGGCGGCAUCCUGGACCGGCAUUGACGCUGAGACGCGAAAGCGUGGGGAGCGAACAGG
RNAcentral lists this ribosomal RNA (253 nucleotides) under uncultured bacterium. RNAcentral's name for it is "partial 16S ribosomal RNA". It matches the Rfam family "Bacterial small subunit ribosomal RNA", at positions 524 to 776 of the family's 1533-position model. The record is from RNAcentral.